CUCACACGCUGUCUCUCUCUCUCUCUCUCUCCCCCUCUCUCUCAAAAAUAAAUAAACAUUAAAAAUAAAUAAAAUUUAAUUAAUUAAUUAAUUUUAAAAAGGCUGAUUUUUGGUCUCCUCUAUAGGCCUCCAGAAUCCAAAAUUUUCAAAGAAAGUCCUGGAAAUCUGUGUUUUUUGCACGCAUUCUCUUCACUAGGCCGGCCAGUGCAGUAAAAUUUAAGAAUCUUUCUCUAUACCAAUCCUGGUCUCAUUUAUUAUCCUUUUCAUGAAAAUAUUUCGUUUUCAACCUUUUGUGACUUCUGAAAAUGGAAUCUGAAGCAGAGGGAUCCACUUCCAUAAUACCGCCUGUGGCCAUCACUGGCACACUUGGCUUGCCGAUUUUAUCAGAGGAUGCGAAGGAAGCCAACCUUUGAUUAUCAGGAUUCCCAUAUCUACUUUUCCGUUGACUUGUCGCCAUUAAAGGCGCCUCUCCAGCUUUUCCUUUUCUCCUCUUUCUGCGAGAAAAAUGGGCCUGGUGCUCUUGGAAGCUGUGCUCUUGGAGCCCUUGAGCGCAGGGGCGAGUGAAAGUAAACUUGUUCAAGUUCUCUGAAGAAGCGGGAGUGGAAUCCAUCGGUGUUCCCACGGAGAAAGCACCGACUCCAAGAGAAUGCAGGAUGAAUGGAGAAGGAUGACGUCACAAAGAUGUCCAGGGAAACACCGGAACACCGUCACUCCGCUCACUCCUUGGUCUCCUCCCACCACUUCCUCAAGCCCUCCCGGAACUCCUGCCUCAGGAGUAAUGCGAGCAACGCAGUGUGUGCUGGUAAACCAGCUAGCUCUCUGAAAAAAAAAAAAAAAGAAAAAAGAAAAGAAAAACAAAAAUCCGAAUUUGUACUAUUUGCCAGUUUCCACGGUGUAAACAGUCCCACCACGGCAGAUUUUGGUGGUUUAACAGCAGACUCACAACACUUUCCAAUAUUUAAUAAUCGGCUCUUGCAAACCAGGAGGGGACAACUCCAGCAUGUCCUCCACAGUCCUGCCCCAGAAAAUCCCCAAAUCACACCCCGGUUUAAUUCUUAGGUCCAGCCACAGAACCUAAAAGGGUAGAGGGAAGUUUUUCCUCUCCUCCAUCAACUAUGGAGAUAAUGGUGAACAAGGCAAAGUCUCUGCCCUCAUGAAGCUUACUGUCCAGUUUACAAGGAAAUCACUCUGUACACAAAUAACUUGAGAUAAUCCAAUAAUGACAAGGGUGCCGAGUGCUUUAAAGAAGAAGCCCAAGGUUUUACUAGGUACAUAACUACCCAGAGAAAGGAUUACAUGGCCACCUGCCCAAUAAGAUGUAGGCAGAAGUAACGUAUGGGGUCUCUGAGACCUUUUUUCUGCUACCUGGUAUCUGGAGGUGAUGGCUGGCAGCUGAGCAGCCAUCAGGGACCAUGAGGAGACACGGCUAAAAGUUGGCAAACAGUAUAUUAAGUGGAGCUUUGUUCCCUGAUGACCACGAGACUGUCAUACACCAUAUCAGCCCUGGAUCGCCUACCUCCAGGCUUCUUUUAUGUAAGGGAGAAAUAAAGGUCAAUCAAAUAAAUAAAGCCUCUAUUAUUUUCAGAUUUUCUGUUACAAAGUCAAACACAAUC
This is a long non-coding RNA of Leopardus geoffroyi (Geoffroy's cat), 1613 nucleotides long. RefSeq lists it as uncharacterized. The transcript has 3 exons. Lineage: Eukaryota; Metazoa; Chordata; Mammalia; Carnivora; Felidae. The record is from RefSeq and is a predicted model, not a curated record.